UAACACAUGCAAGUCGAGCGGUAGAGAGAAGCUUGCUUCUCUUGAGAGCGGCGGACGGGUGAGUAAUGCCUAGGAAUCUGCCUGGUAGUGGGGGAUAACGUCCGGAAACGGACGCUAAUACCGCAUACGUCCUACGGGAGAAAGCAGGGGACCUUCGGGCCUUGCGCUAUCAGAUGAGCCUAGGUCGGAUUAGCUAGUUGGUGGGGUAAUGGCUCACCAAGGCGACGAUCCGUAACUGGUCUGAGAGGAUGAUCAGUCACACUGGAACUGAGACACGGUCCAGACUCCUACGGGAGGCAGCAGUGGGGAAUAUUGGACAAUGGGCGAAAGCCUGAUCCAGCCAUGCCCUGUGUAAGAAGGUCUUCGG
Molecule: ribosomal RNA, 367 nt
Filed under: bacterium OTU16
Lineage: Bacteria
Description: bacterial SSU rRNA
Rfam family: Bacterial small subunit ribosomal RNA
Source: RNAcentral